Molecule: unclassified non-coding RNA, 413 nt
Filed under: soil metagenome
Description: partial contains 5.8S ribosomal RNA, internal transcribed spacer 2, and large subunit ribosomal RNA
Rfam family: 5.8S ribosomal RNA (bases 1-120)
Source: RNAcentral
GAUGAAGAACGUAGCGAAAUGCGAUAAGUAAUGUGAAUUGCAGAAUUCAGUGAAUCAUCGAAUCUUUGAACGCACCUUGCGCUCUUUGGUAUUCCGAAGAGCAUGCCUGUUUGAGUGUCAUGAAAAUAUCAACCUUGACUUGGGUUUUGUGCCCUAGUCUCGGCUUGGAAUUGGGUGCUUGCCGCUUUUACGAGCGGCUCACCUUAAAUGUAUUAGCUGGAUCUGUCUUUGAGACUUGGUUUGACUUGGCGUAAUAAGUAUUUCGCUAAGGACAUUCUUCGGAGUGGCCUCGUUUCUAGGACGCUUGUCCGCUUUCCAAUACAAGUUCCACCUCGUGGACAUGACUUUUUAUUAUCUGGCCUCAAAUCAGGUAGGACUACCCGCUGAACUUAAGCAUAUCAAUAAGCGGAGGA